UAAUCAAACUAGCGGUUAUUUACAAUCACGGUGCUAAUUCAUUAUCAUGGUUAAUUUGAUAUAAUAGAAAGAUUAAUUAUGGAAUGCUAAUUAGCUGUUUAUAUUUUUAACAUCUAAACGAGCAUUACUUUUCUUAAGUUCCGAUGCAGUUAAUACAAUAGUGAUAAUUACAAUUUGGUACACCUAGAAGAGACAUACCUAUUGGAUGACCCUAAACAGUGUGAAAAACUACCUACUGAUGAAAUGUAAGUACCUAUAAGACUACGAAGCUAAAGACCUUUGGUGUCGUUUUAACUUAUGGCAUUAAUUUUGGAUUAAGAUUUGACAGACUCCUUUGCUAUUUUAUUUCAAAAUUUUAUAUAGGAGAUAAGCUGCCACAAAUAGUGAUGUAUUACGUUAAAACCUGGCACAUGACAUAAUUAGGUAUCAUCAUUGUUUAAAAACAAUGGCAUCACCUAUAAUGUUAGAACCAGACACACUAUCAGAAUGGGUAAGUCGUUACUAUAGGAGAUCAGGUCUGUAUAACCAGACGGGAUUCAACACUACCUAGAACCUUAGUGCUAGAACCAUUGACUAAAAAUAGUGUAGAGAGAGUGUAGGUACUCAGAGGCAAAAUGGUCUCAAACCUACAUACUGGUUGUACCAAACCUACUGCGCGGCAGGAGGUGGGAGACAAAAAUACAUGUACAGCAUUAUAUCAAUCUCUAGAGGUUUAAAUUAUGGAACUGGGAUUGAAAUUGAACUGCCGGUGUCGUUGGUAGGUCCUGUGUGGUCAUUGGGAAAAAUUAUGGUCUUGAACAUGCCGAUCGGAAGGCCAAAAUGAGAAAGUAUAUAAAGGAAAAACAAGAGUAAAGGAGAAUCGAAGUAAAAUUAGAUCUUAACAUUGCAGUCAAAUACGUUGCAUUGCUCAUAGAGGCGUGUCAGCCUAGUUUUAGUUCUAAUUUCGGUUGCGGAUAGCCUUUCAGCCUAUUUUAGACCAAGGGAUGGUACGGCAGACUAUUUAAAACCUUGAGUGUUGUUUUAGGUAAAAAAUCCAGUAAAAAAUCGCUUAUAAAUGCUUUUACAGCUGUUUUGUGCCUACAAGUUUCUCAGCAUGAUCCUGACAACGAUUUCCUCCUUUACCUCAAUCAUCUUGGCAGUUUAAGCCCUGACGGUUUGUUGAGUUCGGCGUUCUGUUCAGCUCCUUCCCAAUUGGCGUUUGUAAUUAUCUCUUUCUGGAGACGCACCUCUUCGCUCCUUUUUGUAGGAAAUAAAAUGCUUAUAGGAUAAUGGUCAUCAUGUUGAAAAUCGUCAUUUUCGUUUUUUUGUUGGCAACAGAAUCCUCAACCAAGUCUCCGCAAACAGCAGUUAGUGGAAUACCAAUUUCCAGUGGGAGAUAAUCAACACCAUUUUCCAUAAGUAGAGGAGCAAACAACAGACUCAAACUAACAUCUAUGUAGAGCUUCGAAAGCAACUCUAAUGAUGGAGUACGAAUGCCUAUCAACGCUUGUGAUUUCGAUUCAUUGAAAUGCUGCAACAUUUGUUGGGUUUGUGCAUAGAGCUUUGAAUAUAGACUACGGAUGUGAAGGCAGCUCUUCUUUUCCUGAACCGUAUCAAGACAAAUGAGACUCACUCCAUAUGGUUCGCAUAAUCGAAGACGUAGAGUAUAAAAGGGAAACUGGGAAAGCACAAUCAUUGAAUCAAUGGCACAAUAUUAUUUUGGCUGAUUAUAUGGAGAUUUGAAAUCAUAGUUUCCUACGAGAGAGCGUCAUUAAUGAAGUCGAUCCACUAGAUUAGGCCAUUGAGGGAAAAUUGCCCCUUCAAAUGGGAGAAAAACUUUGGUCCGGCUGGUGGGAGGUCUUUUCUACAUCCAUAUUUAGUUCAUAUUUUGUAUGUACAUACUUUCAAUGCACAUUAUUAAAAGAAGUAAACAUAAUUAUGCCUUAACGUGCCUACAUUUAUUAAUAAAGGUGUCCUUUGACGAACAUAUAUUUUACAACCCAUAUCGGUACCUAGACGAAGCGUAGGUGCCUACCAUCUGACGAAUAAGCUGU
Molecule: long non-coding RNA, 2033 nt
Organism: Photinus pyralis (common eastern firefly)
Lineage: Eukaryota; Metazoa; Arthropoda; Insecta; Coleoptera; Lampyridae
Exons: 3
Source: RefSeq, a predicted model, not a curated record